GAUGAAGAACGCAGCGAAAUGCGAUAAGUAGUGUGAAUUGCAGAAUUCAGUGAAUCAUCGAAUCUUUGAACGCACAUUGCGCCUCCUGGUAUUCCGGGAGGCAUGCCUGUUCGAGCGUCAUUAAAAUCACUCAAGCUUAGGUUUACCUAUUGCUUGGUCUUGGAGAUGGAAGCCAAUUUAUUGGAAUCCUCUUCGAAAUUCAAUGGCGAAGACCCUUGCUCUCCCAAGUGUAGUAAUAACUUAUGUCACUGAGGAAGCGAGAAAUCUUCUGCCGUAACCCCCAUAUUUUCUAUGAUUGACCUCGGAUCAGGUAGGGAUACCCGCUGAACUUAAGCAUAUCAAUAAGCGGAGGA
Molecule: unclassified non-coding RNA, 353 nt
Filed under: soil metagenome
Description: partial contains 5.8S ribosomal RNA, internal transcribed spacer 2, and large subunit ribosomal RNA
Rfam family: 5.8S ribosomal RNA (bases 1-120)
Source: RNAcentral